ACAGGGAUUGCCUCAGUAACGGCGAGUGAAGCGGCAACAGCCCAGAUUUGAAAUCCGGCUUUCGGGCCCGACUUGUAAUCUGCAGAUGAGUCUUUUGGCGGAGCGCCGUCCAAGUUCCCUGGAACGGGACGCCGGAGAGGGUGAGAGCCCCGUACCGACGUGCGCCGAGUCUUUGCAAAGCUCAUUCGAAGAGUCGAGUAGUUUGGAAAUGCUGCUCAAAUUGUGGGGUAAAUCUCCCAUAAGGCUAAAUACUGGCCAGAGACCGAUAGCGCACAAGUAGCGUGAGCGAAAGAUGAAAAGAGCCUUGAACAAGGGCGUCAAAAAGCAUGUGAAAUUGUUGUGAGGGAAGCGCUCGAUGCCAGACGUGGAGGCGGUUGGUUACCCGGCGUUCUCGCCGGCGCACUCUGCCGUCUCCAGGCCAGCAUCAGUUCGGCUUGGGGCUCAAUGCAGUUGGGAACGUGGCUCUUCGGAGUGUUAUAGCCUAGCUGCGACGUCCUGGGCCGGACUGAGGAACGCGCAUCUGCCCGGAUGCUGGCGUAAUGGCUUCUAGCGACCCGUCUUGAAACACGGACCAAGGAGUUGACCUAACAUGCGAGUGUUUGGGUGUAAAGCCCUCACGCGCAGUGAAAGCGAACGCAGGUGGGAGCUUCGGCGCACCAUCGACCGAUCCUGAAGUUUACGGAUGGAUUUGAGUAAGAGCAUGUUGGGUCUGACCCGAAAGAAGGUGAACUAUGCAUGAAUAGGGUGAAGCCAGAGGAAACUCUGGUGGAGGCUCGCAGCGGUUCUGACGUGCAAAUCGAUCGUCAAAUUUGUGCAUGGGGGCGAAAGACCAAUCGAACCUUCUAGUAGCUGGUUCCUGCCGAAGUUUCCCUCAGGAUAGC
RNAcentral lists this ribosomal RNA (881 nucleotides) under Pleurothecium recurvatum. RNAcentral describes it as "LSU rRNA". It matches the Rfam family "Eukaryotic large subunit ribosomal RNA", at positions 68 to 982 of the family's 3401-position model. Lineage: Eukaryota; Fungi; Ascomycota; Sordariomycetes; Pleurotheciales; Pleurotheciaceae. The record is from RNAcentral.